This 279-nucleotide ribosomal RNA is filed under the name uncultured bacterium. RNAcentral's name for it is "partial 16S ribosomal RNA". It matches the Rfam family "Bacterial small subunit ribosomal RNA", at positions 506 to 784 of the family's 1533-position model. The record is from RNAcentral.
UGCCAGCCGCCGCGGUAAUACGGAGGGUGCGAGCGUUAAUCGGAAUUACUGGGCGUAAAGCGCGCGUAGGUUGAUUGGUCAGUCAGAUGUGAAAGCCCCGGGCUCAACCUGGGAACUGCACCUGAUACUGCCAGUCUAGAAUACGGUAAAGGGUAGUGGAAUUUCCUGUGUAGCGGUGAAAUGCGUAGAUAUAGGGAGGAACACCAGUGGCGAAGGCGGCUCCCUGGCCAAAGACUGACGCUCAUGUGCGAAAGUGUGGGUAGCGAACAGGAUUAGAUA